GACGUAGGGCGCGAGCGUUGUCCGGAUUUAUUGGGCGUAAAGAGCUCGUAGGCGGCUCGUUGCGUCAACCGUGAAAACCCGGGGCUUAACUUCGGGCUUGCGGUUGAUACGGGCGGGCUGGAGUUCGGUAGGGGAGACUGGAAUUCCUGGUGUAGCGGUGAAAUGCGCAGAUAUCAGGAGGAACACCGGUGGCGAAGGCGGUCUGCUGGGCAGUUGCUGACACUGAGGCGCGACAGCGUGGGGAGCAAACAGG
Molecule: ribosomal RNA, 253 nt
Filed under: uncultured bacterium
Lineage: Bacteria
Description: partial 16S ribosomal RNA
Rfam family: Bacterial small subunit ribosomal RNA
Source: RNAcentral